Molecule: ribosomal RNA, 747 nt
Filed under: Vibrio alginolyticus
Lineage: Bacteria; Pseudomonadati; Pseudomonadota; Gammaproteobacteria; Vibrionales; Vibrionaceae
Also listed under: 2 other names
Description: partial 23S ribosomal RNA
Rfam family: Bacterial large subunit ribosomal RNA
Source: RNAcentral
AGCCGUCCUUGAAAUACCACCCUUGUAGUGUUGAUGUUCUAACGUCGACCCCUUAUCGGGGUUGCGGACAGUGCCUGGUGGGUAGUUUGACUGGGGCGGUCUCCUCCCAAAGCGUAACGGAGGAGCACGAAGGUGGGCUAAUCACGGUUGGACAUCGUGAGGUUAGUGCAAUGGCAUAAGCCCGCUUGACUGCGAGAAUGACAAUUCGAGCAGGUGCGAAAGCAGGUCAUAGUGAUCCGGUGGUUCUGAAUGGAAGGGCCAUCGCUCAACGGAUAAAAGGUACUCCGGGGAUAACAGGCUGAUACCGCCCAAGAGUUCAUAUCGACGGCGGUGUUUGGCACCUCGAUGUCGGCUCAUCACAUCCUGGGGCUGAAGUCGGUCCCAAGGGUAUGGCUGUUCGCCAUUUAAAGUGGUACGCGAGCUGGGUUUAGAACGUCGUGAGACAGUUCGGUCCCUAUCUGCCGUGGGCGUUGGAGAAUUGAAAGGGGCUGCUCCUAGUACGAGAGGACCGGAGUGGACGAACCUCUGGUGUUCGGGUUGUGUCGCCAGACGCAUUGCCCGGUAGCUAAGUUCGGGAUCGAUAACCGCUGAAAGCAUCUAAGCGGGAAGCGAGCCUUGAGAUGAGUUCUCCCUGAUACUUUAAGUAUCCUAAAGGGUUGUCGUAGACUACGACGUUGAUAGGCAGGGUGUGUAAGCGUUGUGAGGCGUUGAGCUAACCUGUACUAAUUGCCCGUGAGGCUUAACCAU